UAUAUUUGCGCCGCUGUUAACAGCAUACAUAAUAAUCAUUUAAACAAUAUUGGAAUG
This 57-nucleotide non-coding RNA is filed under the name unclassified sequences. The record is from Rfam.